GCUUGACUGUAUCUUGGAAUUGGGUUCGGGCUUUUCUUGCGCAGACUAGGUGGGAGGCUAUGAAGAUUUUCUUCUGGGAAAGUUGGAGCCAACAGUGAGAGACCACUCUGGAAAGGCUAGAUCCUAAUGGUGAUCCUUGAAUCAGGACACUUGACAGUUUCAGGUGGCAGUUUUUCUGGGGCGGAAGCCUCAUAAAAGGUAACUGAGGCGCGCAAAGGUCCCCUCAGUCGGACGGAAAUCAGACAUUGAGUGUAAAGGCAAAAGGGGGCUUGACUGCAAGACCCACAA
Molecule: ribosomal RNA, 288 nt
Filed under: uncultured alga
Lineage: Eukaryota
Description: partial 23S ribosomal RNA
Rfam family: Bacterial large subunit ribosomal RNA
Source: RNAcentral